GCCGCCUGUUAAACGAAUCAAUAGUUCAACACAUACAACACAUGUAACCAAAUCGAGUUACAACACACAGAACCAAAUCGAGUUACAACACACAGAAACAAAACUCAAUUUAACAAUCACAAACACAUCUCUCUGGAUCUUGAGGUGCAGCACGGAGAAGACCUACAUCUGCAGCACGGAGAAGAGGACAUAACUGCAUCAGCACGGAGAGAUCGCGAGGGAAACAGAGAUCGUGAGAGUUAGAGAGAGGGAGAGAGCAGUGAGAGAAGACAGAGAGAGAGGGAGAAAGCAGUGAGAGAAGACAGAGAGAGAGGGAGAGAGCAAUGAGAGCACUUACCUUGCAUGGGCCGUCGCCGUCGCUGUGCCGGAGAUCAAGGGACCCGCACGGGGUCGCGGGCGCAUCUCCGCCGAUGCUGCCUGCUACUGGAGCCCCGGAUCCAAGGGAAUCUUGCCGCCGUUGUUGCCUCUCCGGUCCGGCCCCUGCUGCCUGUUAUGAGGAGGAAGAGGGAAGGGAGGGUGCUAGGCGCUGGGGAAGAGGUCGGGAAGGAGGAGAUCGGCUUGGAUCUGGAGAGGAAGGGAGGCGGCUGGGAUCUGGAGAGGGAGAGGAGAGGAGGAGGCUGAGAUCUGGAGAAGGAGAGGAGAGGGAGAGGAGUUCGUGGGGAGAAGAGGGCCAGUGGAGGAGGGACUCGGUGGGGAGAUAGGAAUAGAAUAGGAG
RNAcentral lists this long non-coding RNA (715 nucleotides) under Brachypodium distachyon (stiff brome). RNAcentral's name for it is "long non-coding RNA (BDIS_LNC000856)". Lineage: Eukaryota; Viridiplantae; Streptophyta; Magnoliopsida; Poales; Poaceae. The record is from RNAcentral.